GCAUAUCAAUAAGCGGAGGAAAAGAAACCAACAGGGGAUUGCCUCAGUAACGGCGAGUGAAGCGGCAACAGCUCAAAUUUGAAAUCUGGCCCUAGGCCCGAGUUGUAAUUUGCAGAGGAUGCUUUUGGUGCGGUGCCUUCCAAGUUCCCUAGAACGGGACGCCAGAGAGGGUGAGAGCCCCGUACAGUUGGACACCAAGCCUUUGUAAAGCUCCUUCGACGAGUCGAGUAGUUUGGGAAUGCUGCUCAAAAUGGGAGGUAUAUUUCUUCUAAAGCUAAAUACCGGCCAGAGACCGAUAGCGCACAAGUAGAGUGAUCGAAAGAUGAAAAGCACUUUGAAAAGAGGGUUAAACAGCACGUGAAAUUGUUAAAAGGGAAGCGCUUGUGACCAGACUUGCGUCCGGUGAAUCACCCAGCUCUCGCGGCUGGGGCACUUCGCCGGCUCAGGCCAGCAUCAGCUCGCUGUCGGGGACAAAAGCUUCGGGAACGUAGCUCUCUUCGGGGAGUGUUAUAGCCUGUUGCAUAAUACCCUUCGGCGGGCUGAGGUACGCGCUCCGCAAGGAUGCUGGCAUAAUGGUCAUCAGCGACCCGUCUUGAAACACGGACCAAGGAGUCAACCUUAUGUGCGAGUGUUCGGGUGUCAAACCCCUACGCGUAAUGAAAGUGAACGCAGGUGAGAGCUUCGGCGCAUCAUCGACCGAUCCUGAUGUUCUCGGAUGGAUUUGAGUAAGAGCAUAUAGGGUUGGACCCGAAAGAAGGUGAACUAUGCGUGUAUAGGGUGAAGCCAGAGGAAACUCUGGUGGAGGCUCGCAGCGGUUCUGACGUGCAAAUCGAUCGUCAAAUAUGCGCAUGGGGGGCGAAAGACUAAUCGAACCUUCUAGUAGCUGGUUUCCGCCGAAGU
Molecule: ribosomal RNA, 900 nt
Filed under: Colletotrichum gloeosporioides
Lineage: Eukaryota; Fungi; Ascomycota; Sordariomycetes; Glomerellales; Glomerellaceae
Description: LSU rRNA
Rfam family: Eukaryotic large subunit ribosomal RNA
Source: RNAcentral